GAUGAAGAACGCAGCGAAAUGCGAUAAGUAAUGUGAAUUGCAGAAUUCAGUGAAUCAUCGAAUCUUUGAACGCACAUUGCGCCCGCCAGUAUUCUGGCGGGCAUGCCUGUUCGAGCGUCAUUACAACCCUCAGGCCCCCGGGCCUGGCGUUGGGGAUCGGCGGAGCCCCCCGUGGGCACACGCCGUCACCCAAAUGCAGUGGCGGUCCCGCCGCAGCUUCCAUCGCGUAGUAGCUAACACCUCGCGACUGGAGAGCGGCGCGGCCACGCCGUAAAACACCCAACUCUUCUGAAGUUGACCUCGAAUCAGGUAGGAAUACCCGCUGAACUUAAGCAUAUCAAUAAGCGGAGGA
RNAcentral lists this unclassified non-coding RNA (352 nucleotides) under soil metagenome. Its description in RNAcentral is "partial contains 5.8S ribosomal RNA, internal transcribed spacer 2, and large subunit ribosomal RNA". The stretch from base 1 to 120 matches the Rfam family "5.8S ribosomal RNA", at positions 35 to 154 of the family's 154-position model. The record is from RNAcentral.